Acanthochromis polyacanthus (spiny chromis) is the source of this 2939-nucleotide non-coding RNA. The record is from the annotation of a RefSeq genome assembly. NCBI's taxonomy places the organism in Eukaryota, Metazoa, Chordata, Actinopteri, Pomacentridae.
AUAUGAGGUAACUGUUGUGUUCAUUCAGUUCUACUAGUUUGAAGUUCAUUUAUUACAAGUUUAAAGCCACUGUUGGUGCACAGAUGUAAAUGUUGUCCUCCAGGAAAUCUUAAUUUCAAGAAAUGAAUGCCAGUCAAUAAAUAGGAUCUGCUCAGAGGAUGACAGCACAUUGUUUGUAUUCCCAGGAUUUCUGCAGAUUUCACACAUUAAUGAGGAUUUUGAAGAGUUUUCCAGGAGCUCCAGGUUUUUGUUGAGGCAGUGAGUGAAGAUGAAACACUGUGCUGCUUUCGACUACUGGGGUCGUGGGACUGAAGUCACAGUAACUUCAGCAACACCUACAUUGCCAGAUGUGUUCCCUUUGGUUUCCUGUAAAUCUGCGACUGAAAAUGAAGUCACUCUCGGCUGUCUUGCGUACGGCUUCUACCCAAAAAGUGCCACUUUCAUGUGGACUAGUGCCAGCGGGACCAAACUGGACUCUCACCAGUAUAUUUCAUAUCCCAGUAACAACAACACAUAUACAGGAGUCAGUGUGAUCACAGUAUCAGAGUCUGAUUCUUCGGCUUAUAAAUGUUCUGUGAAUCACCCUGAAGGCAACAGAUCUGUGACAGUCAAACGCGUGUUCUCUCCAGAGGUGACUUUGCUAUCAGUGCCGAGUGAAGACAAACAGGCCCUGGUGUGCACCAUUGAGAAGCUUUCCUCUGAAACACUUUCAGUCAGUUGGAAAAAGAAUGGGGUGUCUGAAACUGGCUUCAUGGAUGGGAAAUCCAAAAAAACUGGAGACGUAUAUUCAACUGUCAGUGUCCUAAAAGUCACCAAAGCAGAUUGGGACAGUAACGCUGUUUACACAUGUGAGGUGACUCACGAUGGAUUGACUUAUACAAAGACAAUCUCAAAAGCUCCCAUCACAGUGACACUCAACCCUCCGAGUCCAAAAGACAUUUUCAGCAACAACCAGGCAGUGUUGGAGUGUGUGGUUACCGGAGAGGACAGCGACGUGCUAUCAAAAACUACAAUCACUUGGCAGAUUGACGGACAGCCUGCGACAGAAAACAUUACAAGCGACAGCCAGGCAAAGAGAAAAAGCAGCAAACUGACUCUUACUUUGACUGCCUGGGCCGGAGUCAGCAAAGUGAGAUGUUCUGCCAAAACAAAAGAUAUGACGCCAGUAAUCGAAGAUCUGACUGUCCACAAAGGAGAUGGGACAGAGCCAAAAGUGACAGUUCACAUCCUUCCAGAGCAGGACAUCAACCAAGAAGUCACUCUGGUGUGUCUGGUCUCCAGCUCCAUGCUGCAGGAUUACUACAUCACCUGGACAGAAGACAACGGACAAACCACCGGAAUCUAUACCAAUGGCAUCAACUUCCCCCCACAGAAGACUAAAAACGGCUACUCAGUGACAAGUCUGUACGCCACCACCAAGAAGAAGUGGAACGAUGGCUACAUGAUCAAAUGCCACGUCUGGCCUGCUGGCAGAAAAGACAAAGUGAAACCUCAUGGAGUGUCCAAGGACAUGGACAUUCCUUUGGAGUUUCUGAGCUCCACAGAGGGAUCCACUGAUGAGGAUGAGCUCAGCAGCCUCUGGUUCACAUCCUCCUGCUUCAUUUUCCUCUUCAUAUUCUCUCUCUUCUAUAACAUGAUAUUCAGCCUGGUCAAGAUGAAGAAACAAUAAAGGACGGACGGAUGGAUCUCAAAACGUGUGAAUAAUCAAUAAUCUGCUGUUUAAUUGUGAAAAUAAAUGGUUUUGUCCAGUACAAGAUGAAGUAAAAAUAUAUUUCAUACUUAUUUAAAAAAAUAUUUUUCUUUCACAUUAUGAUUGCAAAACAUUUUUAGUUUAAUUCAAGUGGAAUUUCAGUAAUUUCCAAAUAGCACAUUAGAAUUAAAUGCAUGAGCAUGUCUUUGCUUUUAUCAGUAGUUCCACAGAUAUGAUGCUUAAUAAAUAAUAUUUACGCUAACAUUUUCUUCUGAAAUUUGAACCACAAUGCAGGCUUAAAAAGAGCCUCUAAAAUAAGCUGCAUGUGAAUUCAGCGAAGCAUAAACUUCUGUUAUCAGUUGAGCUCUGCAGGUUUUCAGUUUCCUGCUGUUUCUAAACAUGUCGUUUCUAGAGAGCCACUUCUCUUUCUCUGCACCUCUGGGACCACACCUGCAGCCGAAAACUUUGUAGAAACCGUCAGAAAUGCAAAUAGAUUUCCUUGAAGGAUGUUAACAUCUGUCAGUAUGUUAAAGUUUUGCAUAUUUGUCUGUUUUGAGGCAUGAAGUGACUGACAUGCAUUCAGAGAGACGAGAAAAAUGCUCAGAAAUGUGGACACACAGAAGCAUAAAAGGAUGAAAUAUUUAGAUCAGGGUGUCAAACUCAUCUUAGUUCAGGGGCCACAUUCAGCCCAUUUUCAGUUCAAUAAAAUUUUAUUUAUAUAGCACCAAUUACAGUCAAAUUGUCUCAAGACAUUUUACAGAACCCACAUGCCUGAACCCCAGAGCAGCCCUAAGGUGACAGUGGCAACAAAAACACCCUUUUAACAGGGAAGGAACCUUGAGCAGAACCCGGCUCUUUAUGUAGGAGAUCCAUCUGUCUGCUGGCCGGACGGGCUGAGAGGGACAUGUGGGGAUAUGAAAAUACUGAUGUAAAAUAGGCCACCCCUUCAAAAUGUAUUUAAUUGGUAAUAAUAUUGUGCUAUUCAUCUUCAGUUUCCUUUUUUAAAAUUAUUUUCUUGUCUUUUCUAUUAAUGUACAUUACUACUGAGCCACACAUUUAGAUUUGCUUUAGAUGCAAUUCAUACAGUCCGCCACAAGAAGGAGGUGCUCUCAUGGGAACCUCAGCAAGCUGCGGUGUAGAAUAAGCAGGCUCUGCUGCACCAUGAAAAAGCAGACAGACGGCCCAGAUCCACAGCACGGCAUUUAUGUUUUGUGUUGUUAUGUUUCAGAAAUAAACCCAUCAAAAGACA